This 500-nucleotide ribosomal RNA is filed under the name uncultured bacterium. RNAcentral's name for it is "partial 16S ribosomal RNA". It matches the Rfam family "Bacterial small subunit ribosomal RNA", at positions 28 to 523 of the family's 1533-position model. The record is from RNAcentral.
GAUGAACGCUAGCGGCAGGCUUAAUACAUGCAAGUCGAGGGACAGCACAGGUAGCAAUACUGGGUGGUAACCGGCAAACGGGUGCGGAACACGUACACAACCUUCCUUUACGUGGGGGAUAGCCCAGAGAAAUUUGGAUUAAUACCCCGUAAUAUAGUUGAAGGGCAUCCUAUGAUUAUUAUAGUCAUGGCGCUUAAUGCUGGGUGUUCGGCUGAUUAGAUAGUUGGCGGGGUAACGGCCCACCAAGUCUACGAUCAGUAGCUGAUGUGAGAGCAUGAUCAGCCACACGGGCACUGAGACACGGGCCCGACUCCUACGGGAGGCAGCAGUAAGGAAUAUUGGUCAAUGGACGCAAGUCUGAACCAGCCAUGCCGCGUGAGGGAUUAAGGUCCUCUGGAUUGUAAACUUCUUUUAUUUGGGACGAAAAAGGGCCUUUCUAGGUCAACUGACGGUACCAGAUGAAUAAGCACCGGCUAACUCCGUGCCAGCCGCCGCCGUAA